GAUGAACGCUGGCGGCGUGCCUAAUACAUGCAAGUCGAGCGAACGGACGAGAAGCUUGCUUCUCUGAUGUUAGCGGCGGACGGGUGAGUAACACGUGGAUAACCUACCUAUAAGACUGGGAUAACUUCGGGAAACCGGAGCUAAUACCGGAUGAUAUUUUGAACCGCAUGGUUCAAAAGUGAAAGACGGUCUUGCUGUCACUUAUAGAUGGAUCCGCGCUGCAUUAGCUAGUUGGUAAGGUAACGGCUUACCAAGGCAACGAUGCAUAGCCGACCUGAGAGGGUGAUCGGCCACACUGGAGCUGGGACACGGUCCAGACUCCUGCGGGAGGCAGCAGUAGGGAAUCUUCCGCAGUAGGCGAAAGCCUGACAGAGCAACGCCGCGUGAGUGAUGACGGUCUUCGGAUCGUAAAACUCUGUUAUUAGGGAAGAACAUAUGUGUAAGUAACUGUGCACAUCUUGACGGUACCUAAUCAGAAAGCCACGGCUAACUACGUG
This 497-nucleotide ribosomal RNA is filed under the name uncultured bacterium. RNAcentral describes it as "partial 16S ribosomal RNA". It matches the Rfam family "Bacterial small subunit ribosomal RNA", at positions 28 to 507 of the family's 1533-position model. The record is from RNAcentral.